Molecule: ribosomal RNA, 180 nt
Filed under: uncultured bacterium
Lineage: Bacteria
Description: partial 16S ribosomal RNA
Rfam family: Bacterial small subunit ribosomal RNA
Source: RNAcentral
CGAAGUCGGAAUUGCUAGUAAUCGUAGGUCAGCAUACUACGGUGAAUACGUUCCCGGGCCUUGUACACACCGCCCGUCAAACCAUGAGAGUUGGCAACACCCGAAGUCGGUAGUCUAACCGCAAGGAGGACGCCGCCGAAGGUGGGGUUNAUGAUUAGGGUUAAGUCGUAACAAGGUAUC